This 821-nucleotide long non-coding RNA is filed under the name Brassica napus (rape). RNAcentral's name for it is "long non-coding RNA (BNAP_LNC002716)". The record is from RNAcentral. Lineage: Eukaryota; Viridiplantae; Streptophyta; Magnoliopsida; Brassicales; Brassicaceae.
UUUGUUAAGAGAGAGAAAGCGAAAGAGAGUAAAAGAAAAAAGCCUCGCCGACCGGCGGAGUGGGCUUCCACAGCCACCGUCGGUCCGGUUUGUUCUUGUUUUUUGGUUUUCGUUUAAGCUUUCUUUCGUCUCGAUUUAGCUGUGUGGGAUUUGUUUUUCGGUGGUUUUCCGGUUCCGGGAGGUGGAGGCUUUGACAGCUCCGCCGCCGCCGGUUUUGUUACCGAGAGGUAGAGGCUUCCACAGCUCUGCCGCGUCGGCUUUUGCUACCGGGAGGCGGUGGCUUUGUCAGUACCGCUGUCGUCGGCUUGUGUUCCCGGUGGGUGGUAGCUCCUCUAGUAUCGCCUUCUUCGGUUUCGUUUUCUUUGGUUCAGUUUUUUAUUCCCUUUCUUCUCGAUCUAUGAGUCGGCGCUUCAAAGUCUCUCUGUCUCUUGAUCUAUCAUCUGAAACCGCUGCAUGGAAGUCGGAGGUGAUGGAUUGAUUGUAGGCGGUUAUUUGCUCGAGUGAUUUCAUAGAUCCGCUUUGGUGUGUGGUUAUCCGUUUGGCUUGGGUUUUGGACGAGAUCUCGAUAGGUUAGAUCGAUGGAUGCUCUCCGAGGAAGGUUCUCAAGCGGGGAAGAUCGGCCGGUCUCGUUCUGGUGGCUUGCGGCGCCGGUUACGGUGGCAUGCUUGGAAAACUAGGGUUUCCAUAAGUUUGGGCCGCGUGGGGUUUAAAGUUUAGGCCCGUUUUUUUUUGUUUAUACUAGUUGGGCCGGAUGCGUGGGCUUUUAUUGUAAUGUUUCUUGGUUGGGCUUGUCCCUUAAUUUUAAUAAACUCAGUUGGGAA